GAGGGUAGUGAUUAUGAGGUUGGACCCCGGAGUUAGACAGUCUGGGUGCAAAUGCUGUAUGACCUUGGACAAAGCAUGGCACCCGAGUUUUCUCACCAACAAAAUGAGGGGAAAAAAGGAAAAUGAAGUCCUAUUAAUAUGUUUAUGAUAGGAAGAAUAAUUAGAAAAGUAGAAUAAAAAAACUGAAGCAUGGUGAAAUCACAGUGUGUGAAUAUAUGCAAAGGAUACUCAAAGGUCAAGAAAAGUUCAAGAAUUGUCUCUGCAUGAUAGGGAAAUGCAACUUGCUCUGCCCGACGCCUAGAGUCUCUGGCUGCAGGUCUGGUCCUGGCCCCCUAGGAGGACUUCCCGAGGUCUUAGAUGGAGAGUGGCAGGGACAACCAUGCUUAGGUUGAGGCCUAUGAAAGGAGUGUUUUCAGCAGCAGAGCCACCAAACUAACAAGUCACUGAAUUUUAAAACUCUGGCCACGUGGCUUAGAGGACUCUGGGCAUUGCCCCUUUGCUACCAGCUCCAAAGAUCUGGGAAGAUCUCAUUUGGAUUAGUGACCACGGUUUGUGGGAAUCUUCGCAACCCAAAAAAGGCUGUUUAAAACAGGGGAAACACUGAGCUCUGGAAAUGGUUUAUUUGGCCAUCAGAAUUUUUUUUUUUUUUAAUGACCACCAUUUAAAAAUUCUUUUCAUAAAGUCCCAAAUUUUGGGGUUCCCUGGUGGUCUAGGGGUUAGGAUUUUGCACUUUUCAUUGCUGUGACCCAGGUUCAGUCCCUGGUCUGGAAACUUCCACAAGACAUGGGCAUGGCCACAAUUUUAAAAAAUAAAGUAGGGAGUUCCCAUUGUAGCUCA
Molecule: long non-coding RNA, 837 nt
Filed under: Sus scrofa (pig)
Lineage: Eukaryota; Metazoa; Chordata; Mammalia; Artiodactyla; Suidae
Description: lncRNA (ENSSSCG00035030871.1, ENSSSCG00065025170.1)
Source: RNAcentral